Molecule: ribosomal RNA, 254 nt
Filed under: uncultured bacterium
Lineage: Bacteria
Description: partial 16S ribosomal RNA
Rfam family: Bacterial small subunit ribosomal RNA
Source: RNAcentral
UACGAAGGGGGCUAGCGUUGUUCGGAUUUACUGGGCGUAAAGCGCACGUAGGCGGAUCGAUCAGUCAGGGGUGAAAUCCCCAGAGCUCAACUCUGGAACUGCCUUUGAUACUGUCGAUCUGGAGUAUGGAAGAGGUGAGUGGAAUUCCGAGUGUAGAGGUGAAAUUCGUAGAUAUUCGGAGGAACACCAGUGGCGAAGGCGGCUCACUGGUCCAUUACUGACGCUGAGGCGCGAAAGCGUGGGGAGCAAACGGG